RNAcentral lists this ribosomal RNA (253 nucleotides) under uncultured bacterium. RNAcentral's name for it is "partial 16S ribosomal RNA". It matches the Rfam family "Bacterial small subunit ribosomal RNA", at positions 524 to 776 of the family's 1533-position model. The record is from RNAcentral.
UACGUAGGGUGCGAGCGUUGCUCGGAAUUACUGGGCGUAAAGCGCACGUAGGCGGCUUCUUAAGUCGGUGGUGAAAUCCUGGAGCUCAACUCCAGAACUGCCUUCGAUACUGGAGAGCUUGAGUCCGGGAGAGGUGAGUGGAACUGCGAGUGUAGAGGUGAAAUUCGUAGAUAUUCGCAAGAACACCAGUGGCGAAGGCGGCUCACUGGCCCGGUACUGACGCUGAGGCGCGAAAGCGUGGGGAGCAAACAGG